UAAAGCCGCGAAUGGCUCGGUAUAACAGCUACGGUUUAUUAGAUUUUAGUUAUCUACUUGGAUAACUGUGGUAAUUCUAGAGCUAAUACAUGCACAAAAGCUCGGACCUUACGGAAAGAGCGCAUUUAUUAGAACAAAACCAAUCGGUCGCACGUUUCGGCGUCGGCCGCCAGUUGGUGACUCUGAAUAACUAAGUUGAUCGCACAGUCUUAGAACUGGCGACGUAUCUUUCAAAUAUCUGCCUUAUCAACUUUCGAUGGUAGGUUAUACGCCUACCAUGGUUAUAACGGGUAACGGAGAAUAAGGGUUCGACUCCGGAGAGGGAGCCUGAGAAAUGGCUACCACAUCCAAGGAAGGCAGCAGGCGCGCAAAUUACCCAAUCCCAGUACGGGGAGGUAGUGACGAAAAAUAACGAGAUAGUCCACUAUGUGGCCUGUCAUCGGAAUGGGUACAAUUUAAAUCUUUUAACGAGGAUCUAUUAGAGGGCAAGUCUGGUGCCAGCAGCCGCGGUAAUUCCAGCUCUAAUAGCGUAUAUUAAAGUUGUUGUGGUUAAAACGCCCGUAGUUGAUUUUUCGACUUUGGAGCGUGGUAUCUCGAAAGAGUUUUCACUGCGUCUCCAAGUCUGAAUUUAAGUUUUCUAUGGAUGCUCUUUAUUGAGUGUCCUUAGUGACUUGAACGUUUACUUUGAAAAAAUUAGAGUGCUUAAAGCAAGCUUUCAGCUUGAAUAAAGUGCAUGGGAUAAUGGAAUAGGACUUUAGUCUUAUUUUGUUGGUUUUCGAGAUUAAAGUAAUGAUUAAGAGGAAUAGACGGGGGCAUUCGUAUUGUUGCGUUAGAGGUGAA
RNAcentral lists this ribosomal RNA (840 nucleotides) under Mermithidae sp. KPMN_2RH. RNAcentral describes it as "SSU rRNA". It matches the Rfam family "Eukaryotic small subunit ribosomal RNA", at positions 82 to 915 of the family's 1831-position model. Lineage: Eukaryota; Metazoa; Nematoda; Enoplea; Mermithida; Mermithidae. The record is from RNAcentral.